UACAGAGGUCCCAAGCGUUGUUCGGAUUCAUUGGGCGUAAAGGGUGCGUAGGUGGCGCGCUAAGUCAGGUGUGAAAUUUCGGAGCUUAACUCCGAAAUUGCAUUCGAUACUGCCGUGCUCGAGGACUGGAGAGGAGACUGGAAUUCAUGGUGUAGCAGUGAAAUGCGUAGAGAUCAUGAGGAAGACCAGUGGCGAAGGCGGGUCUCUGGACAGUUCCUGACACUGAGGCACGAAGGCCAGGGGAGCAAACGGG
RNAcentral lists this ribosomal RNA (253 nucleotides) under uncultured bacterium. Its description in RNAcentral is "partial 16S ribosomal RNA". It matches the Rfam family "Bacterial small subunit ribosomal RNA", at positions 524 to 776 of the family's 1533-position model. The record is from RNAcentral.